This 1186-nucleotide long non-coding RNA is filed under the name Homo sapiens (human). RNAcentral describes it as "HSALNT0378047". Lineage: Eukaryota; Metazoa; Chordata; Mammalia; Primates; Hominidae. The record is from RNAcentral.
AUUAGUGGGAAGAGGGUCCACUGAAGAUUUAGUGCUUUUUGAUUUUAGAAAAGCCUUUGAUUCAGUGUCUCAUGAAAUCUGACUGGCAAAAUUAAUUUAAAUUGGCACAGACAGGGACCGUCUCAGGGAUGGGGCUCGGCUGAAAGGCUAUAAACACAGGCGUGAUGAAUGGGAGACGCAGACCAGAGGGGCAAGGGGGCAGGCCCGGGCCUGCUGCUGGGCGAGGUGAGAUCAGCAGAAGCGGAAACCCGAUCACAUCGUCGGUCUCCAUGAAGGUCUUGAGGAACCAUGACUGGCCACCUCUGGGCUCUGUCUAUUUCCCUCCUUGACCGUCGAGGAGAAGUAGACAUUGUGUUGAGAGCAAUCACCAUCACCGUGAUCAACAAACAUACCAAAAGUAUAAAACUUGGAAAGAUGGGAUAACAGAUCAAAAUAAAGGAAACUGGUAAACAAAGUCUCAUCUUUGUACGUCCUCAGGAAAUUGGGAACCUACCAUGUACUGGAAUAACUGCGGGGAACACGGCGAACUAUGUGGCCACUAUCCCUGGAAAGGCAAGACCUACACCUGAAACACAAGAGAAUGCUGAUGAGAAAACCCUUCCUUACCCCACUGGCAUUUGGCUCCUUAUAUAUUUUGAUGCAUGAAGUUAUCCGUAUUGUAAAUGGAUGGAGCCCUUAAAAUUUGUGUCUGCAACUGAGAAUUGCUUGAAAAUUAUCUUCUUCCUAUUGGUUGGGUUAUUAAUUCAUUACUGGGGAGAGGUAGCAAUUUCCAUGUAAGUUGCGACUGGUGGCUUAAUAUGGUCUUCAGAGACGUACCCUCACCUGCAGCUGUGCCUUUGAAGGCAGCUCCAUGCCGAUGCUUAGCACACUGAAGACGUCCCCACAGCUACUUCUGUGGAGACGGCUGCACAGAGCUUAGGAGAAGGUUCUGCGGGCUACCUGAAAAUCAGGACCGCACUCACCUGUACUCUGGGUUGGCAGAAGACCUAAUCGUGGAUCGGUACUCAAGUGCAAAAAGCACUGUUCUGCCUAAUUAAUUCCUCUGCAUUGACAUUUUGUAGCAUUCAUGGAACUUUCUGGCAUGUCCUGGUUCUGUAGAAUGACAACUCUCUUGAAGUCCGGGUGAUUUCUGUUCUUUGAGUGUGAAGUGAAUUUGCAAUUGAGGCAAAAUAAAAUAUAUAGGUGG